This 852-nucleotide ribosomal RNA is filed under the name uncultured organism. Its description in RNAcentral is "bacterial SSU rRNA". It matches the Rfam family "Bacterial small subunit ribosomal RNA", at positions 35 to 886 of the family's 1533-position model. The record is from RNAcentral.
GCUAGCGGCAGGCCUACACAUGCAAGUCGAGGGGUAACAGGUGAGCUUGCUCCCGCUGACGACCGGCGCACGGGUGCGGAACGCGUAUGGAACCUGCCCCUGUCAGAGGAAUAGCCCAUGGAAACGUGGAUUAAUGCCUCAUGGUAUUGUGAAGUUGCAUGAUUUUACAAUUAAAGAUUUAUCGGACAGGGAUGGCCAUGCGUAUCAUUAGCUAGUUGGGGAGGUAACGGCUCACCAAGGCGACGAUGAUUAGGGGCCCUGAGAGGGGGAUCCCCCACACUGGUACUGAGACACGGACCAGACUCCUACGGGAGGCAGCAGUGAGGAAUAUUGGACAAUGGUCGGAAGACUGAUCCAGCCAUGCCGCGUGCAGGAAGACGGCCCUACGGGUUGUAAACUGCUUUUCUACAGGAAGAAAGGUUCCCUUGCGAGGGAGAUUGACGGUACUGUAGGAAUAAGGACCGGCUAACUCCGUGCCAGCAGCCGCGGUAAUACGGAGGGUCCGAGCGUUAUCCGGAAUCAUUGGGUUUAAAGGGUCCGUAGGUGGGGUUCUAAGUCAGAGGUGAGAGGUUGCAGCUCAACUGUAGAAUUGCCUUUGAUACUGGAGCUCUUGAGUUAUGUUGCUGUGGCCGGAACAUGUGGUGUAGCGGUGAAAUGCAUAGAUAUCACAUAGAACACCGAUUGCGAAGGCAGGUCACAAAGCAUACACUGACACUGAGGGACGAAAGCGUGGGGAGCGAACGGGAUUAGAUACCCCGGUAGUCCACGCCGUAAACGAUGGAUACUAGCUGUUGGGUUUUCGGACUCGGCGGCCAAGCGAAAGUGAUAAGUAUCCCACCUGGGGAGUACGUU